Long non-coding RNA from Vidua macroura (Pin-tailed whydah), 2353 nucleotides. RefSeq lists it as uncharacterized. The record is from RefSeq and is a predicted model, not a curated record. NCBI's taxonomy places the organism in Eukaryota, Metazoa, Chordata, Aves, Passeriformes, Viduidae. The transcript has 3 exons.
GAACAGUGAAACUGGUUAGUUUAGAAAAACUUCUUUUAGAGAAACUGGAGUCAGAUUUGCCUCUUCAGAGAUUUAAGAGAAAAGGAUUUCUCUUCCCAUUUUUCUGUGACUAUUCCCAUGCUGGAGCUCAGUAAUUCAAGCCUGGACAUGAAAGGAGCAUGUUCCUUGAGGAUUAAUCUAAGAGUAACUUCAACUAUGUUCUAUCCCAUGGGCUGCUCUUUUCCCUGCUGCUUUGAUGGAUGUUCUCCCCGCUGCAUCCCAGCCUCAGAGUCCUCACUGGGACCCUUGAGAAGUCCUGAGGAAAUGUGCCUCCUAAUGCUCUGCUGCCUGCUCUGCUCAGUCCUGCCAUGGUCUUCCUCUUGGCUCCUGCUCUACUGUACUCCAGACCUUGGCUGAAGUCCAUACCUGAGUGUGUGCUAUCCAACGAAGAGAGGACUUCAGGUUAGCCUCAAAGCUACACUAUGGUGUCUGCACAGGUGCACACAAAUGGCAAAUAGAGUUGACAUUUCUCACAAGUCUCUGCUCAAAAUUGUUCCAGCUGGGGCAGUGAUGAAAACAUGGAAUGGUGGAGCUUAUGAGACCUUCAGGCUUGUGUUGGUAUGAUUUUUGCAAAAGCAGCAAGGGAAAGCCCAGUGCUUCUGAGUUCUGCUACACUACAACCAAGGACCAUUCCAAUCCCAUAGUGAGGAAAGUGCUUUGGGAGAACUGUGUCCAGCCCUGCCAAACAGGAAAGGGAAAUCACAAAGGGUAGGAGACCAGCAAUUAUGAAGGUUCAAUGUAUUUGAAUGAUUUGAUUUGAUGCAGGAACUGGGAGGAAACAUAAGAGAAAGUAGAGAAGAAAGCAAGAAAGUUUCUCUUUUAAAGCCGUUGUGGCUUAAUUGACAGGACUACUGGCUGCAAUAAUGUGAUGCACGUGCUGCUGUUACCGAGGGCUGUUAUGCUACAGGCACGACAAAAAACACUACAAUAAGAGGCUCCAUGGCAUAACCCUGGUCAAGUGAGGAAAACAAAACAACCUCUUAAAUGUGCAAUUUUUGGGCAGGAAAAUUGUAUUCCAUUGUUUGGGUAUUUUAAAGGUGAUUUGGAUGAAAAAUACUGCAUUGUGUCUUUGGUUUUGUUUUUUUUUUUUUUCUGCUUUGUGGCAUUUUAAGGGUACUUUAAUAAUUUUAUAAUUUUUUUUCCCCAGGUUUUACUAUAUUAAACAGUGGUAUUGUGAACUUCAGUUUCCUCUUUGCUUUUAUUGACUUUGUUUGGGGUGUAUUUGGUUUUCUGCAUGAUUUUCUUUGUGUGUCAUUGCAUAAUAUGUUGUUUAUUUUGGAAAAGUCAGAUUAUGAGCCUGGGUGCUUGUUGCUUGUUUGCCACCAUGUCUCUUGUGCCAGAAAAACUUGUUUUGAAGGUCACAAAAUAAUAUUCCUUACUGGAAUAAUGCUCCAUAAAACAAAAAGUUAAGCACCUCUUCUGUUUCAGGUAAUUGCAUCCUUAGAAUAACAGGUAACACCUUAAUGAAGGAGCUGAGCUUUUAAAAGAGAUUUCUUUCUCUCCAGGGUAUAAAAUGGCCAUUUAGAGUAAGUAGCUGCUGAAUAACAUUUAGUGUUUGACUGAAUUUCCCUGUUUUCCUUGGAAACACACGCUUCCCUUUUGCUCAGGGCUGUGUAGGAUAUUCUCUCACACACAUGUAUCCCUAUACACAACAAGGAAUAGUGCCUAUGAAUCUUCCAGCUCUCAGCCUCUGAGCUCAGACCAUAAAACAUCCUUCUCAGAACAUGAGGGGUUAAGCCCUGGCCAUAACUAAUAUGAGAUAUAGGAUGACUCUGUGUUGAGGGUACAAACCAGAUUCAGUUCCCUUCUCUGAUAUGGUCUCUGAAUGAAUUUAUCAACUGCUGUCAAAAAAAAAAGGCAAACCCAUUCCUUCUUUCCUUAACUCCCCUUUCUGCACCUGGGGCUUUCCUCAUCUUUACAUGCUUUGGUGCUCAGCUGAUGUUUGGUUGAGCCAGUUCAAUUCAUGCAGAAAAAGAUUCACACUUUUCCCAUGUUAGUUGUCUGCCAGGCUUGUGAGAUGAAUUGAAUUCAGGAAACAGUCCGAUGAUCAUGAGAUCUGGCAAAGGAGAGGAAGAUGGUUUUGAGAGAGAGAAGAGCAAGAUCUCUAGCAUACAGCUUCCUCCUCUCUAUUUGAAUGGAAGUCACUUCUCCUUCUGUGAAUGAAUAAAAUGUGGAAUAACCUUUAUUUUCUUCCUCCUAGGGUGGUUGUGUAGCAACAUUAAAGGAAGCCAGAUUGCAGCAGUGAAGGGGAAAUGGAUGCAAGGUUUUGCUUUAUGUCUGUCCUUUAUUAACUAUUAAUAAAAACUUUAUUAUA